Molecule: long non-coding RNA, 976 nt
Organism: Dalotia coriaria
Lineage: Eukaryota; Metazoa; Arthropoda; Insecta; Coleoptera; Staphylinidae
Exons: 5
Source: RefSeq, a predicted model, not a curated record
GCGUCGUUACUUGCUCGGCUACGGCAUGCGCUAUCCAUGUUUUGCAGCCAGUUUCGUGCCGGUCGCUGGUUGAUCCACACAUGUUUUGAUGUUUUGUUAUAACGUUUAUUCGGACUUCAAUAUUCUAAAUUUGUGUUAUACUUGAAGAUCAAUCGACUAUUUAUUUGUACUUUGCGACUAUAGUAAAUCGUUUAAUGUUCGGAAAUGCCGGUUUUUGAUCGCGUUGGUUAUGUAUAUUACAAGUCACGUGAUAAUGGAUUUGAUAACAUUCUUCACUCGGCGUUAUGUUUGGUGUCGGUUACUAAAUUAAUCGGAUAUAUUUCGCCCCCAUGUUGAUUCUCAUCAUUAAGAAAGAUACAUCAGGCUCGUUUACAGCACUCGUUGUGCCUGGCAGUCCGAUAAGCUGCACACUGUAUUCGCUGUACCAUGGAGUCCGAUGAGUUCUGGCUUAACAUUUACAUAAACGUUAACGCUACCCUUCUACGGUGCCUUGAAUGGGAGUCACUUCUAUCGCUAUCUUUGUACGUUGCCCUAAAUGGGAGUCUUUAUGGAUCCUUUGUUGGAUGAAGCAUUGGCAAUCCUGAGAUGGCCUAGUUUAUCAAUAGGGACCAACUGGAGAGGUUCCUUGGUACAGGUAGAGUGCGUUUUGAGGAUGAAGUUUUGAUUACUGAAGAUGGAUGUGUCAACUAGAUUAAAAUACCCAGAACAGUCCGAGAAAUUGAAGAUUGGAUUGCCGGUGUGGAUGAUGAUUCCAAAUACGAUUGAAUGUAUUUACAACAAUUCGAAGCUGUUAUUGAUUUCAUUUUUGUUUAUUUUGUUAUUAGUUAUAAAAAGAGCAUUAUAUAAUUGUAUAAUAUUAUUCUGUUUUUACGCUUGUAUUUUUAAAAAUGCUGUAUAUAUUGAGAAAUGGAGUUUGUGAUGUAUAUAUAUUCUACAUGUUCAAAUAAAAUUGUAGUUUUAUAUUUUUAACUAUAAA